GCGGAGGAAAAGAAACCAACAAGGGAUUGCCCUAGUAACGGCGAGUGAAGCGGCAACAGCUCAAAUUUGAAAGCUGGCCUUCGGGUCCGCAUUGUAAUUUGUAGAGGAUGCUUUGGGUGAAACGCCAGUCUAAGUUCCUUGGAACAGGACGUCAUAGAGGGUGAGAAUCCCGUAUGUGACUGGAAAUGUUAACCUAUGUAAAGCUCCUUCGACGAGUCGAGUUGUUUGGGAAUGCAGCUCUAAAUGGGAGGUAAAUUUCUUCUAAAGCUAAAUAUUGGCGAGAGACCGAUAGCGCACAAGUAGAGUGAUCGAAAGAUGAAAAGCACUUUGGAAAGAGAGUUAAAAAGCACGUGAAAUUGUUGAAAGGGAAGCGCUUGCAAUCAGACUUGUUUAAACUGUUCGGCCGGUCUUCUGACCGGUUUACUCAGUUUGGACAGGCCAGCAUCAGUUUCGGCGGCCGGAUAAAGGCUCUGGGAAUGUGGCCUUCACUUCGGUGAAGGUGUUAUAGCCCAGGGUGUAAUACGGCCAGCCGGGACUGAGGUCCGCGCUUCGGCUAGGAUGCUGGCGUAAUGGUUGUAAGCGACCCGU
RNAcentral lists this ribosomal RNA (588 nucleotides) under Aureobasidium melanogenum. Its description in RNAcentral is "eukaryotic LSU rRNA". It matches the Rfam family "Eukaryotic large subunit ribosomal RNA", at positions 50 to 652 of the family's 3401-position model. Lineage: Eukaryota; Fungi; Ascomycota; Dothideomycetes; Dothideales; Saccotheciaceae. The record is from RNAcentral.